This 929-nucleotide ribosomal RNA is filed under the name Loxophyllum helus. Its description in RNAcentral is "eukaryotic LSU rRNA". The stretch from base 316 to 929 matches the Rfam family "Eukaryotic large subunit ribosomal RNA", at positions 1 to 687 of the family's 3401-position model. The record is from RNAcentral. Lineage: Eukaryota; Ciliophora; Litostomatea; Pleurostomatida; Litonotidae.
ACUCAGCAGCAAUGCUAGUGAAACUUAAGGUAAUCCCUUAAAAUAACUGGGUUGAUAAAACCUAAAUUUUCAACGAUGGAUGUCUAGGUUCCCACAACGAUGAAGAACGCAGCGAAAAUGCGAUAUGCAGUGUGAAUUGCAGAACCACGAAUCAUCGGAUCUUUGAACGCAACUAGCGCUAGUAAAACUAGCAUGUUUGGUUCAGUGUGCGCAACCAACUAACUAAGCUAAAUGUAGGAGAAGUUCUCUUAUAAAGAUCAUGCUCUCAGCAGCAGUCACAGAAAUGUGAGCUUCUGGGUGAAUAGUUACUUAUUUGCACCUGAACUCAAGCAAGAUGACCCGCUGGACUUAAGCAUAUUAUUAAGCGGAGGAAAAGAAAUUAACAAAGAUUCCCUUAGUAAGGGCGACUGAACCGGGAAAAGCUCAAAAUUGGAAUCAUUGGUUCAAAGAACCUCUGAAUUGUAAUCAGGACAGCCUAAAUACUGAAAUUAGCUCAACAGGAUUGAAAGCCUGGUCAAAGAGGGUGCGAACCCCGUACAGUUAGCUUCAGAGUAAGGUUGGAUCCACAAGAGUCGGGUUGCUUGGAACUGCAGCCCUAAAGGGAGAUAUGAUUCUUCCAAAGCUAAAUAUGGGUGGGAAACCGAUAGUGAACAAGUACUGUGAAGGAAAGAUGAAAAGGACUUUGAAAAGAGAGUGAAAAGAUCUGAAAUCGUUGAGAAGGAAGCGGUAAAACUGACGAACGUACUGAAAGUAUAAUGCGGUAAUAACGCAGAGUGCUUACCAGAACGCUGGGCAAAAUCAAGUUUGUAGCGUCAAAAAAGGUGCAAGCCGGACAGGACGUAACAAGCUUGAGGGACUACGGUGAUUUUGCCAAAAUGGUCUUUACCGUCCCGUCUUGAAACACGGACCAAGGAGUCUAUCCUAUAUGC